Molecule: ribosomal RNA, 252 nt
Filed under: uncultured bacterium
Lineage: Bacteria
Description: partial 16S ribosomal RNA
Rfam family: Bacterial small subunit ribosomal RNA
Source: RNAcentral
UACAGAGGUCUCAAGCGUUGUUCGGAUUCAUUGGGCGUAAAGAGCUCGUAGGCGGCUUGUCGCGUCGGCUGUGAAAACCUGGGGCUCAACCCCGGGCCUGCAGCCGAUACGGGCAGCUAGAAUUCGGUAGGGGAGACUGGAAUUCCUGGUGUAGCGGUGAAAUGCGCAGAUAUCAGGAGGAACACCGGUGGCGAAGGCGGGUCUCUGGGCCGAAAUGACGCUGGAGGAGCGAAAGCGUGGGGAGCAAACAGG